AAUACGUUCCCGGGCCUUGUACACACCGCCCGUCAAGCCAUGAAAGCUGGGAGUAUUUAAAGUCGGUAGCCGCAAGGCGCCGCCUAGAGUAAAACCGGUGAUUGGGGCUAAGUCGUAACAAGGUACCC
RNAcentral lists this ribosomal RNA (128 nucleotides) under uncultured bacterium. Its description in RNAcentral is "partial 16S ribosomal RNA". It matches the Rfam family "Bacterial small subunit ribosomal RNA", at positions 1365 to 1501 of the family's 1533-position model. The record is from RNAcentral.